RNAcentral lists this ribosomal RNA (450 nucleotides) under uncultured bacterium. RNAcentral describes it as "partial 16S ribosomal RNA". It matches the Rfam family "Bacterial small subunit ribosomal RNA", at positions 354 to 796 of the family's 1533-position model. The record is from RNAcentral.
GUGGGGAAUAUUGGACAAUGGGCGAAAGCCUGAUCCAGCCAUGCCGCGUGUGUGAAGAAGGUCUUCGGAUUGUAAAGCACUUUAAGUUGGGAGGAAGGGUAGUAACCUAAUACGUUGCUACUUUGACGUUACCGACAGAAUAAGCACCGGCUAACUUCGUGCCAGCAGCCGCGGUAAUACGAAGGGUGCAAGCGUUAAUCGGAAUUACUGGGCGUAACGCGCGCGUAGGUGGUUCAGUAAGUUGGAAGUGAAAUCCCCGGGCUCAACCUGGGAACUUCUUUCAAAACUGCUGAGCUAGAGUGAGGUAGAGGGUGGUGGAAUUUCCUGUGUAGCGGUGAAAUGCGUAGAUAUAGGAAGGAACACCAGUGGCGAAGGCGACCACCUGGACUGAUACUGACACUGAGGUGCGAAAGCGUGGGGAGCAAACAGGAUUAGAUACCCCAGUAGUCC